CGAGCGAACGCUGGCGGCAGGCCUAACACAUGCAAGUCGAACGAACUCUUCGGAGUUAGUGGCGGACGGGUGAGUAACACGUGGGAACGUGCCUUUAGGUUCGGAAUAGCUCCUGGAAACGGGUGGUAAUGCCGAAUGUGCCCUUCGGGGGAAAGAUUUAUCGCCUUUAGAGCGGCCCGCGUCUGAUUAGCUUGUUGGUGGGGUAAUGGCCCACAAGGCUACGAUCAGUAGCUGGUCUGAGAGGAUGACCAGCCACAUUGGGACUGAGACACGGCCCAAACUCCUACGGGAGGCAGCAGUGGGAAUCUUGCGCAAUGGGCGAAAGCCUGACGCAGCCAUGCCGCGUGUAUGAUGAAGGUCUUAGGAUUAGUAAAAUCUUUCACCGGUGAAGAUAAUGACUGUAGCUAGGAGAAAGACGCCCCGGAUAACUUCGUGCCAGCAGCCGC
This 446-nucleotide ribosomal RNA is filed under the name uncultured soil bacterium. Its description in RNAcentral is "bacterial SSU rRNA". It matches the Rfam family "Bacterial small subunit ribosomal RNA", at positions 27 to 518 of the family's 1533-position model. The record is from RNAcentral.